RNAcentral lists this ribosomal RNA (496 nucleotides) under uncultured bacterium. RNAcentral's name for it is "partial 16S ribosomal RNA". It matches the Rfam family "Bacterial small subunit ribosomal RNA", at positions 28 to 506 of the family's 1533-position model. The record is from RNAcentral.
GAUGAACGCUGGCGGCGUGCCUAAUACAUGCAAGUCGAGCGAACGGACGAGAAGCUUGCUUCUCUGAUGUUAGCGGCGGACGGGUGAGUAACACGUGGAUAACCUACCUAUAAGACUGGGAUAACUUCGGGAAACCGGAGCUAAUACCGGAUAAUAUUUUGAACCGCAUGGUUCAAAAGUGAAAGACGGUCUUGCUGUCACUUAUAGAUGGAUCCGCGCUGCAUUAGCUGGUUGGUAGGGUAACGGCUUACCAAGGCAACGAUGCAGAGCCGACCUGAGAGGGGGAUCGGCCACACGGGAGCGGAGACGCGGUCCAGGGGCCUACGGGAGGCAGCAGUAGGGAACCUUCGGCAGUGGGCGAAAGCAUGACGGAGCAACGCGGCGUGAGUGAUGAAGGUCUUCGGAUCGUAAAACUCUGUUAUUAGGGAAGAACAGAUGUGUAAGUAACUGUGCAGAUCUUGACGGUACCUAAUAAGAAAGCAACGGCUAACUACGU